UACGUAGGUGGCAAGCGUUGUCCGGAUUUAUUGGGUUUAAAGGGUGCGUAGGCGGUCCUAUAAGUCAGUGCUGAAAUAUCCCGGCUUAACCGGGAGGGUGACAUUGAUACUGCAGGACUUGAGUAAAGUUGAGGUAGGCGGAAUUGACGGUGUAGCGGUGAAAUGCUUAGAUAUCGUCAAGAAUACCGAUAGUGUAGACAGCUUACUAAGCUUUAACUGACGCUGAGGCACGAAAGUGUGGGGAUCAAACAGG
This 253-nucleotide ribosomal RNA is filed under the name uncultured bacterium. RNAcentral's name for it is "partial 16S ribosomal RNA". It matches the Rfam family "Bacterial small subunit ribosomal RNA", at positions 524 to 776 of the family's 1533-position model. The record is from RNAcentral.